This 99-nucleotide ribosomal RNA is filed under the name uncultured bacterium. Its description in RNAcentral is "partial 16S ribosomal RNA". It matches the Rfam family "Bacterial small subunit ribosomal RNA", at positions 1384 to 1482 of the family's 1533-position model. The record is from RNAcentral.
UACACACCGCCCGUCACACCAUGGGAGUUGACUGCACCAGAAGUAGGUAGCUUAACCGCAAGGGGGGCGCUUACCACGGUGUGGCCAAUGACUGGGGUG